RNAcentral lists this long non-coding RNA (1313 nucleotides) under Homo sapiens (human). RNAcentral's name for it is "HSALNT0111471". Lineage: Eukaryota; Metazoa; Chordata; Mammalia; Primates; Hominidae. The record is from RNAcentral.
GUGGUGGGGGGCACCUGUAGUCCCAGCUGCUUGGGAGGUUGAGGCAGGAGAAUUGCUUGAACCUGGGAGAAGGAGGUUGCAGUGAGCUGAGAUCGUGCCACUGCACUCCAGCCUGGGCCACAAAAGCAAAACUCCAUCUCAAAAAAAAAAAAAAAAACACUACGAGAAUGUUGCUAAAACACACCCUCUCCAUCUUUUAGUGGUAUUACUCUACUCUGAUGGUGAAAGCAUAACAUGUUAGACAAAUUUCAUUCUUAAACAUUAGGUUAGUGUUUUCUGUCAACAGAUUAUAAGAACUUUUAUUGUUUUUAUUGUCAUUUUUUUCCUAAAUCGUGUGUGGAAAAAUAUUGAAUGUCUUCAAAUGUAUAAUACACACAGUAACACAAUAAGCUACAAAACAAAAACAAAGUUGAUUAACCCACUAUCAAGCUGAUGUUAAUUUCACAGAGCUUGGGCAUUUUAAUUUUUAUUCAGAAAAGAGAUUUUGAAGUGAACUAUGGGAUGAUUUUAAAAAAGAGAGGCUGGCCAGGCCCGGUGGCUCACGUCUGUAAUUCCAAAACUUUGGGAGGCCAAGGUGGGCAGAUCACUUGAGGCCAGUAGUUCAAGACCAGCCUGGCCAACAUGGCGAAACCCCGUCUCUGCUAAAAAUACAAAAAUUAGCCGGGUAUGGGUGGCAGGCACCUGUAAUUCCACCUACUCGGGAGGCUGAGGCAGGAGAGAAUCGCUUCAACCCAGAGGCAGAGGUUGCAGUGAGCUAAGAUCACGCCAUUGCACUCCAGCCUGGGGGACAAGAGUGGAACUCUGUCUCAAAAAAAAAAGAAAGAAAGAAAAGAAAAGAAAAAGAAAAAGAAACCUGCAAUAAAAGAAAAAUGUGAUGGUUUUAACAGUUUGUCCAAGUCUAAAGGAAAGGUGGGUGUGCCCAGCAUCAACGGAUUAGUCAUGAGGAGAACUGAGCUGCAAAUCUUGCAAGUCAGGUUCACUGCAUAUGUGAUGGGAAUACUAAGCAAAAUUAUGACUAUAUUUAAAUGCUUAUGCCCUUCAUCAUAAGUUUAUGAGCAAUGUGGAAGUCAAAUUUGAAUCUGGAGGUAAAAUUUCUCUUACCACAGUCUAAUCUAGAUCAGGGAAAUUUACUGAAGAGAUUUACCAAGCUGUUUGCUCAUGGUCUAAGGUGAGCUCAGGAUCAUCUCCUUCAGGAAGUCUUCUCUUACCUCCCCUCAACUAGGUUGGGUGCCUUUCAUCUGUCCUGCUGUUAAAGCCCUAUGCUGGCUGGGCGCGGUGGUUCACGCCUGUAAUCCCAGCACUUUGGGAGGCCA